This 466-nucleotide ribosomal RNA is filed under the name uncultured bacterium. RNAcentral describes it as "bacterial SSU rRNA". It matches the Rfam family "Bacterial small subunit ribosomal RNA", at positions 28 to 507 of the family's 1533-position model. The record is from RNAcentral.
GACGAACGCUGGCGGCGCGCCUAACACAUGCAAGUCGAACGAGCGAGAGAGAGCUUGCUUUCUCGAGCGAGUGGCGAACGGGUGAGUAACGCGUGAGGAACCUGCCUCAAAGAGGGGGACAACAGUUGGAAACGACUGCUAAUACCGCAUAAGCCCACGGGUCGGCAUCGACCAGAGGGAAAAGGAGCAAUCCGCUUUGAGAUGGCCUCGCGUCCGAUUAGCUGGUUGGUGAGGUAAUGGCCCACCAAGGCGACAAUCGGUAGCCGGACUGAGAGGUUGAACGGCCACAUUGGGACUGAGACACGGCCCAAACUCCUACGGGAGGCAGCAGUGGGGAAUAUUGCACAAUGGGGGAAACCCUGAUGCACCGACGCCGCGUGGAGGAAGAAGGUCUUCGGAUUGUAAACUCCCGUUGUUGGGGAAGAUAAUGACGGUACUCAACAAGGAAGUGACGGCUAACUACGUG